This 397-nucleotide ribosomal RNA is filed under the name uncultured bacterium. Its description in RNAcentral is "partial 16S ribosomal RNA". It matches the Rfam family "Bacterial small subunit ribosomal RNA", at positions 523 to 918 of the family's 1533-position model. The record is from RNAcentral.
AUACGUAGGGGGCGAGCGUUGUCCGGAAUGAUUGGGCGUAAAGGGCGCGUAGGCGGCCCGGUAAGUCUGGAGUGAAAGUCCUGUUUUUAAGAUGGGAAUUGCUUUGGAUACUGUCGGGCUUGAGUGCAGGAGAGGUAAGUGGAAUUCCCAGUGUAGCGGUGAAAUGCGUAUAGAUUGGGAGGAACACCAGUGGCGAAGGCGACUUACUGGACUGUAACUUACGCUGAGGCGCGAAAGUGUGGGGAGCAAACAGGAUUAGAUACCCUGGUAGUCCACACUGUAAACGAUUAAUGCUAGGUGUAGGGGGUAUCGACCCCUUCUGUGCCGCAGGCAACACAAUAAGCAUUCCGCCUGGGGAGUACGGCCGCAAGGUUGAAACUCAAAUGAAUUGACGGGG